UACAUAGGAUGCAAGCGUUAUCCGGAUUUACUGGGCGUAAAACGAGCGCAGGCGGGUUAACAAGUUUGGUAUGAAAGGCUUUUGCUUAACGAAAGUUUGUAUCAAAAACUGUUAAUCUAGAGUGUAGUAGAGAGUUCUGGAAUUCCAUGUGGAGCGGUGGAAUGCGUAGAUAUAUGGAAGAACACCAGUGGCGAAGGCGAGAACUUAGGCUAUCACUGACGCUUAGGCUCGAAAGUGUGGGGAGCAAAUAGG
RNAcentral lists this ribosomal RNA (252 nucleotides) under uncultured bacterium. Its description in RNAcentral is "partial 16S ribosomal RNA". It matches the Rfam family "Bacterial small subunit ribosomal RNA", at positions 524 to 776 of the family's 1533-position model. The record is from RNAcentral.